Pongo abelii (Sumatran orangutan) is the source of this 107-nucleotide small nuclear RNA. The record is from Ensembl. NCBI's taxonomy places the organism in Eukaryota, Metazoa, Chordata, Mammalia, Primates, Hominidae.
AUGCUCGCUUUGGAAGCACAUAUACUAACAUUGAACUGAUACAGAGAAGAUUAGCGUGGCCCCUGCUCAAGGAUGACAUGCAAAUCUGUGAAGCGUUCCAUUAAAAA